RNAcentral lists this ribosomal RNA (216 nucleotides) under Glomeromycotina sp. Its description in RNAcentral is "partial small subunit ribosomal RNA". The stretch from base 40 to 216 matches the Rfam family "Eukaryotic small subunit ribosomal RNA", at positions 686 to 864 of the family's 1831-position model. Lineage: Eukaryota; Fungi; Glomeromycota. The record is from RNAcentral.
GGGUCAGUAGGUUGGUCGUGCCACCGGUACGUACUGGUCUCACUGAUUCCUCCUUCCUGAAGAAUCGUAAUGCCAUUAAUUUGGUGUUGCGGGGAAACAGGACUGUUGCUUUGAAAAAAUUAGAGUGUUUAAAGCAAGCUAACGCUUGAAUACAUUAGCAUGGAAUAAUGAAAUAGGACGAUCGAUCCUAUUUUGUUGGUUUCUAGGAUUGACGUA